Molecule: long non-coding RNA, 1302 nt
Organism: Callithrix jacchus (white-tufted-ear marmoset)
Lineage: Eukaryota; Metazoa; Chordata; Mammalia; Primates; Cebidae
Source: Ensembl
AUGCAUCCAUCUAUCUUCUAUCCAUUCAUCUACCUAUUUAUCCAUAAUCUAUCCAUCCCUCCAUCCAUCACCUAUCCAUUCCUCCAUCAUGCCUCCAUCCACUCAUCCAUCAGGCAUCUGUUCAUCCAUCACCUAUCCAUUCAUCCAUCUUCUAUCUAUUCAUUAUCAUCUGUCCAUCCAUCCAUCAUCUAUCCACCAAUUCAUCUUCUGUCCAUUCAUCUACCUAUUUAUCCAUCAUCUAUCCAUCCCUCCAUCCAUCACCUAUCAUUCCUCUAUCAUCCAUCCAUCCAUUCAUCCAUCAUGCAUCUGUCCAUCCAUCCAUCACCUAUCCAUCCGUCAUCUAUUCAUCCAUUAUCAUCUAUCCAUCAAUCCAUCUUGUAUCCAUUCAUCCACCCAUCUACCCAUCAUCUUUCCAUCCCUCCAUCAUCUAUCCGUUCAUUCUUCUGUCAUGUAUCUGUCCAUCCAUUGUUCAUCCAUCCAUUCAUUCAUUCAUCAUCUAUCAAUCCCUCCAUCAUGUACCCAUCCAUCACCCAUCCAUCCGUCCAUGCAUUCAUCCAUCCAUCUUCUAUUAAUCCCUCCAUCCAUCAUGUAUCCAUCCAUCCUCCCAUCUAUCAUCUAUCCAUCCAUCAUCUACCUAUUUAUCCAUUAUCAUCUGUCCAUCCAUCCAUCAUGUAUAUAUUCAUCCAUCCAUCCAUUCAUCAUCGACCCAUUUAUCCAUCAUUUAUUUCUUCAUCACUUAUCCAUCUAUCCAUCCAUAAUCUAUCCCUCCAUACAUUCAUUAUGCAUCCAACAUGUAUCCAUCUAUCCAUUCAUCUUCUAUCUAGCCUUUUAUCAUCCAUCAUCUAUCUAUCCAUUAUCCAUCCAUCCAUUUAUCAUCUAUCCACCCACCUAUCAUCUAUCCAUCAUCUGUUGAUCCCUCCAUCCAUCAUCCAUCCAUCUAUCCUUUAUCCAUCCACCCAUCAUCUAUCUAUACAUCCAUCAUCUAUCCAUCCUCCAUCAUCUUUCGGUCCCUCCAUCCAUCAUCUAUCCAUGCUUUCAUCCAUCACCCAUUCAUCCAUAAUCCAUUUAUCCAUCCAUUAUCCAUCCAUCCAUCAUCUUUUUAAAAAAAUUAUUAAAUGGAGUCUCACUACAUCACUCAGGCUGGAGUGCAGUGGUGCAAUCUUGGCUCACCCGCAACCUCUGCUUCCCAGGUUCAAGCAAUUCUCCUGCCUCAGUCUCUCAAGUAGCUGGGAUUACAGGAACGUGCCACCACACCCAGCUAAUUUUUGUAUUUUUAGUAGAGUUUGGGUUUUGCCAUGUUGA